UAAGGCUAUCAUAAUGGUGGACUAUGUUCGUCCUCACACCCUAUAUCUAUCUAAAUUCAGUAAAAGAGUAAUCUAGGAUUUUAUCAUGAAUUUUAAGUAUUUUUGAGGUGAGUAAUAUCGUCGAAUCUUGAGUUUUUGAUUUCUUAGUAUUGAGUUCUCUAUAUUGUUAUUGAUAUCCUUGAGUUAAGGUGUUCAUGUUUAUAUUUCAGCAUGAAUCCUUUUUUGAGUUGUAAUUUUUGAGAAUCUUUUAAAGCAAACAUUUUUGUCUUAAGCUGAUUUUCGGAGCAAGUAAAGAUAAGUUUUGAG
Molecule: unclassified non-coding RNA, 306 nt
Filed under: Hevea brasiliensis (rubber tree)
Lineage: Eukaryota; Viridiplantae; Streptophyta; Magnoliopsida; Malpighiales; Euphorbiaceae
Source: RNAcentral